RNAcentral lists this ribosomal RNA (253 nucleotides) under uncultured bacterium. RNAcentral's name for it is "partial 16S ribosomal RNA". It matches the Rfam family "Bacterial small subunit ribosomal RNA", at positions 524 to 776 of the family's 1533-position model. The record is from RNAcentral.
UACGUUGGGUGCGAGCGUUGUCCGGAAUUAUUGGGCGUAAAGAGCUUGUAGGCGGUUUGUCGCGUCUGCCGUGAAAAUCCGGGGCUCAACCCCGGACUUGCGGUGGGUACGGGCAGACUGGAGUUCGGCAGGGGAGACUGGAAUUCCUGGUGUAGCGGUGAAAUGCGCAGAUAUCAGGAGGAACACCGGUGGCGAAGGCGGGUCUCUGGGCCGAUACUGACGCUGAGGAGCGAAAGCGUGGGGAGCGAACAGG